UAUGGCCAUACCACCCUGAACGUACCCAAUCUCGUCUGAUCUCAGAAGCUAAGCAGGUUUGGGCCUGGUUCGUACUUGGAUGGGAGACCAUUUGUUUGUGUCUUGUUAGCCAUCU
Molecule: ribosomal RNA, 115 nt
Filed under: Saimiri boliviensis boliviensis (Bolivian squirrel monkey)
Lineage: Eukaryota; Metazoa; Chordata; Mammalia; Primates; Cebidae
Source: RNAcentral